ACAAAACUCGGCACACAGACUACUCUGGAGAGGUCAAAGGGCAAGGCAACCGAGCAAGAAAACUCCACAACAGCAACACCAGGCCUCCUGGCCGCGCAAGGUGUGAGGGCCUGGGAUCCUCCCUGCGCUCCGGCGUUGGGCCAAAGCCAGGAUGGAGCCCCCUGGGCAGGAGGCUGGGUCCGGGUAGGAGGUGACACAACACCGCCAUCACCCAACCCUGAAAGCGCCUCUGUGGUGGCGGGCGGGCCCGGCUCCCCUGCGGCCUCUCCUCCCCCCCUCACCCCUACCCCAACCCCCGUCCGUCUCGGCUCUUCCCAGGGCGCCGCUGCUCUGCUCCGCUCCGCGAGAGGGACGGGGCGGGAGGGGGGGCUGCUCGUCCAGGGUCGCUCACCGUCACGCGGGGCGCUGCGCCGUCCGGAGCUGCUCCCGCGCGCAGAGGCCCGAGGACAGUGUCACGGGGUCGGCACUCGCGACCGCUGCGGCUGGAGCGACAGGCCUGCAGGCGCCCGGCCGCCGCGGAUUCGGGGCGGGGGAGGGGCGGCCAGAGCACGGCAUCAGCUGAGGCCGGGCGCUGCUGCAACCUGCGUCCGCGCCUGCGCAGAGCGCUUCCGUAGGUGUGUGACCCAGGCGCGUGCACCACGCAUGCGUCCUUCUUACCCUUUGCUCCAGCCCGGAAGCGCAGCGGCGGCUCUAAUUUGUUCAGCCUGCGGGUUCUGUUGCCUUGGUCUCCCGAGACUCAGAGUUACUAAAACUUGCUGCCAACAAACAACAAACACACUGCUCUGAGCGCUUGUAAGCAUUGGAACUUCUUCAGAAGACUCAUGAAGCAUACUCCAAGGAAAGAAGAAAGUAAGGAGCCAACUAUAAACUUGGGAAUGAUAAGGAGACUUAUUAUAUAAUAACAUGCUAAUUUAUGGUCACUUAGGAGGACACUAACUAAAGUGGACCACAUGGCCUGACUAUAGUGCUAUAUUGAUAGAUAGCACCUGUAUUACAGAGACAGCAAAAAGAUCUUCCUUUUUUAUUUGGAAUACCCAAAGUCUGGUAAAGAUUUUUUCCCCUUUGUUUCCUCUACCUCCCAGUGGAAAAGCAUUUAAGGUUAAGGAUUCAUGUAAUGAUUAUUUAUUUAUUUAUUUUCCAUGUAAUUGUAAUUUAUAUUUCUUAGUUUUCUACUGCUCUAUCGACGUACUUCCACUCUGUGAGCCUCUUCUCUUUAAACCCUCAUCUUCUUGUUCUGU
Molecule: long non-coding RNA, 1238 nt
Filed under: Vulpes vulpes (red fox)
Lineage: Eukaryota; Metazoa; Chordata; Mammalia; Carnivora; Canidae
Description: lncRNA (ENSVVUG00000016201.1)
Source: RNAcentral